AAAGUUUAUUUAAAAGUUUAAACAAUUAUAUUUAACAGGAGAGAAAGCUUACUUAAGCUGACAGUAGAGUUGACAUAGCAAGGCGAUGCCUAAAGAUGAGCUCAGCCAUUCAGCAAAUGCCAUUUCCCCUGCCUGGCUCGGUCAGUAGUAAAAACAUGGUUGCAAACAAGUUUGGCAUUUUCAAAACGGGCUUCCUUGCCAUCUACAGUUAAAAUUAAUCUCAAAAAUUCCUAGGAGCUUAGCUCACGCGAUACUUUCUGAAAAUGAAUUUAAAAAAAGUGGUGGUCGCAAAUCCAUACUCUUAGCCUCCGCUCUUAAUUUCAUUUUUCGUUUUUAUAGCAGUGGUUUUUUCUUCUUUUUUGUGCUACAGAGAUUGAUUGAAACGCCUUUCGACCCAUUUCUGUUAGAGAACUACUGCCUGGCCAAUUUGACACUGAACCAACUGGACAUAUUUAGUGAAUACUACAAAAGACUCGAGGUUACUGGCGAAGCAUCACCAGCCCUCAUGCGGUAUUUGGAUGGUGCUCAUUUGAAAAAGCAAGGGAGACUCGAAGAAGCGGCCACAACACUUAAAUUGGUGGAGAGUCUGUCCCCGCCCGAAAGUCUUCUGUCAAAAACUCUUAUCUUACUAGGAGACAUUUCCUCACAGUUAAAAGAUUUUGGUGAUACCCAUCAAUGCUUUCUCAAAGCUGCAAAACUCUGCCGCACUGGUACUUACCCUACUAUAGCCUUGGUUGCUACUACAUGAGUGUUCUGAAAGACUAUGAUAAAGCGAGACGAUGCUUCCAGAAAUCGUACGAGUUCAACCCAUUCUUCACAGAAGCAGGCAAAGGUCUCAGCGAUGCUUACAACAAACUGAACAUGCCGCAAAAAAUAUUGAGGUCCUUCUCAAAGUCGCAAGUAAUUCAGGCGAGAAAUGGGCAUGGGUUCGUCUUGGCCGCCUCUAUUCCAUCACCAACCAGUAUCAACAAGCUUCCGACUGUUACUUAAAAGUGUUGAAAGCUAAUGAGCAAGACAGCCAGUGCUGGGAGUUACUCGCAGUGUCGUAUUCAGCCCGCGGAAUGUUCCAUGCUGCAAUCAAAUCAUUGAACGAGCAACUGAAAUCAACCCUAACUUGCUGUACUCAAAAUAUCGUGCAGCAACCAUCAAGCUCUUGAUCGGACGAUUCGAUGAAGCGCUAGAGGAGUUCCGUGUUCUAGUCCAUGAAGAUCCCUCUUCCGUUCCAUAUUUGAAGGGGCUGGCAGAGACUUGUGUCAAGCUUGCCCAAGUCCUGUUCAAAAAACAUAUCUUAAUAACAUGUAAGGACAGGUGUCAGGAGGCUAUUGAUAAUCUCUGCAGGUAAGACAUCUCCUUGGUGAAGAGGGCUGAAAAAGGCUGAGAAGGCAUGAAAAAACACGAAAUUAUUUUCAUUAGGUGUGCCAUCAUUACUUAGUUUAUAAAAGAAAAAUUACAUAAGGGAAAAAAAACCUGUCAAAUCUAGAUCAGUAGACAAGAUGCGAAUUUAAACAUUAUGAUGCAUGCAUUCUUAUCUACAGGGUGUCUAGCAUCAGGAUUUUCCCGAUUUUCCCGAUUCUAUCAA
This 1579-nucleotide long non-coding RNA is filed under the name Bemisia tabaci. Its description in RNAcentral is "lncRNA ENSSSA2NGG008196". Lineage: Eukaryota; Metazoa; Arthropoda; Insecta; Hemiptera; Aleyrodidae. The record is from RNAcentral.